CCCUUAGAUGUUCUGGGCCGCACGCGUGCUACACUGACCGGUGCAACAAGUUUCUUUCCUUGGCUCGAUAGGCCUGGGUAAUCUUUGAACACCGGUCGUGAUGGGGAUAGAUCCUUGCAAUUUUUGAUCUUCAACGAGGAAUUCCUAGUAAAUGCGAGUCAUCAUCUCGCGUUGAUUACGUCCCUGCCCUUUGUACACACCGCCCGUCGCUCCUACCGAUCGAAGAGUUAGGUGAAUUGUUUUGAUCGAUAAGAUUUGACUAUGGUCAACUCUCGUUGUGAAAUUCUGUGAAUCUGACUGUUUAGAGGAAGGAAAAGUCGUAACA
Molecule: ribosomal RNA, 325 nt
Filed under: uncultured eukaryote
Lineage: Eukaryota
Description: partial 18S ribosomal RNA
Rfam family: Eukaryotic small subunit ribosomal RNA
Source: RNAcentral